GUAGGUGAACCUGCGGAAGGAUCAUUAAAAACCAGGUGCAAAACCUGCCAGGGGGAGCGGAAAGAGCCAACGGUCAUCAUGCUUGUGAGGCACGUUGAAACGAGUACGCUCCUCUUAACACCCUUGUCUUUUUGCGUACUUAUGUUUCCUCGGCGGGCUUGCCCGCCGGCUGGACAAUUUAAACCCUUUUUUAAUCUUCAAUCAGCGUCUGAAUAAUUAUAAUAAUUACAACUUUCAACAACGGAUCUCUUGGUUCUG
This 258-nucleotide unclassified non-coding RNA is filed under the name rhizosphere metagenome. Its description in RNAcentral is "partial ribosomal RNA internal transcribed spacer region". The record is from RNAcentral.